UACGUAGGGGGCAAGCGUUGUCCGGAAUCAUUGGGCGUAAAGAGCGUGUAGGCGGCCCGGUAAGUCCGCUGUGAAAGUCCAGGGCUCAACCCUGGGAUGCCGGUGGAUACUGUCGGGCUCGAGUCCGGAAGAGGAGUGUGGAAUUCCUGGUGUAGCGGUGAAAUGCGCAGAUAUCGGGAGGAACACCGGUGGCGAAGGCGGAUCUCUGGGCCUGUCCUGACGCUCAGGCGCGAAAGCUAGGGGAGCGAACAGG
This 253-nucleotide ribosomal RNA is filed under the name uncultured bacterium. Its description in RNAcentral is "partial 16S ribosomal RNA". It matches the Rfam family "Bacterial small subunit ribosomal RNA", at positions 524 to 776 of the family's 1533-position model. The record is from RNAcentral.